GGACGUGUAGCUCAGAGGAAGAGCGGCUGCAUCCUAAGCAGCGGGUCGGAGGUUCGAAUCCUUCCACGUUCACCA
Molecule: transfer RNA, 75 nt
Filed under: Agrobacterium salinitolerans
Lineage: Bacteria; Pseudomonadati; Pseudomonadota; Alphaproteobacteria; Hyphomicrobiales; Rhizobiaceae
Description: tRNA-Arg
Rfam family: tRNA
About the family: Transfer RNA (tRNA) molecules are approximately 80 nucleotides in length. Their secondary structure includes four short double-helical elements and three loops (D, anti-codon, and T loops). Further hydrogen bonds mediate the characteristic L-shaped molecular structure. tRNAs have two regions of fundamental functional importance: the anti-codon, which is responsible for specific mRNA codon recognition, and the 3' end, to which the tRNAs corresponding amino acid is attached (by aminoacyl-tRNA synthetases). tRNAs cope with the degeneracy of the genetic code in two manners: having more than one tRNA (with a specific anti-codon) for a particular amino acid; and 'wobble' base-pairing, i.e. permitting non-standard base-pairing at the 3rd anti-codon position.
Source: RNAcentral